Molecule: ribosomal RNA, 841 nt
Filed under: Micrococcus sp.
Lineage: Bacteria; Bacillati; Actinomycetota; Actinomycetes; Micrococcales; Micrococcaceae
Description: bacterial SSU rRNA
Rfam family: Bacterial small subunit ribosomal RNA
Source: RNAcentral
UGCUCAGGAUGAACGCUGGCGGCGUGCUUAACACAUGCAAGUCGAACGAUGAAGCCCAGCUUGCUGGGUGGAUUAGUGGCGAACGGGUGAGUAACACGUGAGUAACCUGCCCUUAACUCUGGGAUAAGCCUGGGAAACUGGGUCUAAUACCGGAUAGGAGCGUCCACCGCAUGGUGGGUGUUGGAAAGAUUUAUCGGUUUUGGAUGGACUCGCGGCCUAUCAGCUUGUUGGUGAGGUAAUGGCUCACCAAGGCGACGACGGGUAGCCGGCCUGAGAGGGUGACCGGCCACACUGGGACUGAGACACGGCCCAGACUCCUACGGGAGGCAGCAGUGGGGAAUAUUGCACAAUGGGCGCAAGCCUGAUGCAGCGACGCCGCGUGAGGGAUGACGGCCUUCGGGUUGUAAACCUCUUUCAGUAGGGAAGAAGCGAAAGUGACGGUACCUGCAGAAGAAGCACCGGCUAACUACGUGCCAGCAGCCGCGGUAAUACGUAGGGUGCGAGCGUUAUCCGGAAUUAUUGGGCGUAAAGAGCUCGUAGGCGGUUUGUCGCGUCUGUCGUGAAAGUCCGGGGCUUAACCCCGGAUCUGCGGUGGGUACGGGCAGACUAGAGUGCAGUAGGGGAGACUGGAAUUCCUGGUGUAGCGGUGGAAUGCGCAGAUAUCAGGAGGAACACCGAUGGCGAAGGCAGGUCUCUGGGCUGUAACUGACGCUGAGGAGCGAAAGCAUGGGGAGCGAACAGGAUUAGAUACCCUGGUAGUCCAUGCCGUAAACGUUGGGCACUAGGUGUGGGGACCAUUCCACGGUUUCCGCGCCGCAGCUAACGCAUUAAGUGCCCCGCC